This 935-nucleotide ribosomal RNA is filed under the name Leptolyngbya tenerrima ENCB-CHM1. RNAcentral's name for it is "bacterial SSU rRNA". It matches the Rfam family "Bacterial small subunit ribosomal RNA", at positions 356 to 1303 of the family's 1533-position model. Lineage: Bacteria; Bacillati; Cyanobacteriota; Cyanophyceae; Leptolyngbyales; Leptolyngbyaceae. The record is from RNAcentral.
GGGGAAUUUUCCGCAAUCCGCGAAAGCAAAUGACGGAGCAAUACCGCGUGAGGGAGGACGGCUUUUGGGUUGUAAACCUCUUUUAUCAGGGAAGAAUCGAUGACGGUACCUGAUGAAUCAGCAUCGGCUAACUCCGUGCCAGCAGCCGCGGUAAUACGGAGGAUGCAAGCGUUAUCCGGGAAUUAUUGGGCGUAAAGCGUCCGUAGGUGGUUUAUCAAGUCUGCUGUCAAAGCGUGCGGCUUAACCGCAUAAGGGCAGUGGAAACUGAUGAACUAGAGUGCGAUAGGGGUAACAGGAAUUCCCAGUGUAGCGGUGAAAUGCGUAGAUAUUGGGAAGAACACCAGCGGCGAAAGCGUGUUACUGGGUCUGCACUGACACUGAGGGACGAAAGCUAGGGGAGCGAAAGGGAUUAGAUACCCCUGUAGUCCUAGCCGUAAACGAUGACAACUAGGCGUGGUUCGUAUCGACCCGAGCCGUGCCGUAGCCAACGCGUUAAGUUGUCCGCCUGGGGAGUACGCACGCAAGUGUGAAACUCAAAGGAAUUGACGGGGGCCCGCACAAGCGGUGGAGUAUGUGGUUUAAUUCGAUGCAACGCGAAGAACCUUACCAAGGCUUGACAUCCUCGGAACCCUGAUGAAAGUUAGGGGUGCCUUCGGGAGCCGAGAGACAGGUGGUGCAUGGCUGUCGUCAGCUCGUGUCGUGAGAUGUUGGGUUAAGUCCCGCAACGAGCGCAACCCACGUUUUUUAGUUGCCAGCAUUCAGUUGGGCACUCUAGAGAGACUGCCGGUGACAAACCGGAGGAAGGUGUGGAUGACGUCAAGUCAGCAUGCCCCAUACGCCUUGGGCUACACACGUACUACAAUGCGUCGGACAAAGAGCAGCCAGCCAGCGAUGGUGAGCCAAUCUCAUAAACCGACGCUCAGUUCAGAUUGCAG